Molecule: long non-coding RNA, 694 nt
Filed under: Fragaria vesca (wild strawberry)
Lineage: Eukaryota; Viridiplantae; Streptophyta; Magnoliopsida; Rosales; Rosaceae
Description: long non-coding RNA (FVES_LNC004703)
Source: RNAcentral
CGAAGUAUUGAUUAUCACCAAAUAUGUAACCCUGGCUCUGAUACCAAACUGUCACACCCCAAUUUUUGAAAGAUAAAUUUCAAAAAUUUUGGCAUGAUAUAUCCUAAAAUAUUAAUAUCCCAAAACCUGUUUCAACAAAAAUCAAGGAAAAUAAACUCAAUGCGUAAUGUAAAUUUACACACAACUCCAAAUUGAGUUAAAUAUUACAUUUCCUUGUUUACAUAACUUGAGAACAAGAAAGGGAACGCUCACAUGAGUUUAAUAAUUCCUAUCCCAAUGUAUAUAAAAAGAAUAUACAAAGACACACCCAAAACCCAACAAAAACCCUGCCACUACGCCUCCAUCUCAACCCUGCUGAUCCUCACCUGCAGGUCUAACACCUACACCAAGAAAUGGUGCACCGGGUUGUAAACAACAAACCCGGUAAGCUAAAAAGCUCGUAUGAGUAAACUCAAAAACAACACAACAUUUAUCACAUCCAAUAUUCACAAGAGAGAUUGGAUUAAUAAUUAAAAACCACACAUCAAACACAUUACCCAAGAAAUGUACCCAUGAGUCCCAGAAAUUUAAUAAAAAUACCUCUCAUGACCUACAACAACACUAUGUGUACCCAUGGGUCCCAGAUACCAUACAGUAUCUCCCAUGACCUACAAUGACAGACGGACUAGAGCUCUAUUCCUAACCGCAACCAAUC